CCUGGCCCCCAUUGCCUGCUGAUCUGGCCUUCUUCUCUAUUCUGCUGUAGGAACAAACCACCGAAAACUGACGUGUUGGUUUCGGGACCUGGAUUCGAAUCCCCCUCACGGCUUUCUGUUCCCCCCUGCCUGCUUCCGCCAACCGGCCUCGCCUGCUUGCUCACUUGCGGGCUCUCCGCAGAGGGGGGAUUGCUUGGCCUCUCGGGACUCGAUAUGAUGAAGCCGUGGCGCCGGGCGCAGACCUCACAUCACUAUUGGGUCUCUGAGAGCUGAGCGGAUCGUCGAACGACGUUACAGGCAUGUCUUAUUUUACGGACCAUUUCUGGGGAGAGAAGAACCAUGGCUUUGAUGUCCUUUAUCACAACAUGAAGCAUGGGCAGAUCUCGGUCAAAGAAUUGGCGGAGUUUGUGCGGGAGAGGUACGGGGCGGCCAAG
Pogona vitticeps (central bearded dragon) is the source of this 434-nucleotide non-coding RNA. Lineage: Eukaryota; Metazoa; Chordata; Lepidosauria; Squamata; Agamidae. The record is from RefSeq and is a predicted model, not a curated record.